RNAcentral lists this ribosomal RNA (419 nucleotides) under bacterium. RNAcentral's name for it is "partial 16S ribosomal RNA". It matches the Rfam family "Bacterial small subunit ribosomal RNA", at positions 355 to 776 of the family's 1533-position model. The record is from RNAcentral.
UGGGGGAUAUUGCACAAUGGGCGAAAGCCUGAUGCAGCGACGACGCGUGGGGGAUGAAGGCCUUCGGGUUGUAAACUUCUUUUGCUCUGAACAAGGCAUGCUAAUGGGUGUGUUGAGUGUAGGGGUUGAUUAGCGCCGGCUAACUACGUGCCAGCAGCCGCGGUAAUACGUAGGGCGCGAGCGUUGUCCGGAAUUAUUGGGCGUAAAGGGCUUGUAGGUGGCUGGUUGCGUCUGUCGUGGAAGCUCCUGGGUUAAAUGUGGGGUUGCGGUGGGUACGGGCUGGCUUGAGUGCGGUAGGGGAGGCUGGAAUUCCUGGUGUAGCGGUGGAAUGCGCAGAUAUCAGGAGGAAUACCGGUGGCGAAGGCGGGUCUCUGGGCUGUUACUGACACUGAGGAGCGAAAGCAUGGGGAGCGAACAGG